Molecule: ribosomal RNA, 460 nt
Filed under: uncultured bacterium
Lineage: Bacteria
Description: partial 16S ribosomal RNA
Rfam family: Bacterial small subunit ribosomal RNA
Source: RNAcentral
CCUACGGGUGGCAGCAGUGAGGAAUAUUGGUCAAUGGACGAGAGUCUGAACCAGCCAAGUAGCGUGAAGGAUGACUGCUCUAUGGGUUGUAAACUUCUUUUAUAUGGGAAUAAAAUGUUCCACGUGUGGGAUUUUGUAUGUACCAUAUGAAUAAGGAUCGGCUAACUCCGUGCCAGCAGCCGCGGUAAUACGGAGGAUCCGAGCGUUAUCCGGAUUUAUUGGGUUUAAAGGGAGCGUAGGUGGAUUGUUAAGUCAGUUGUGAAAGUUUGCGGCUAAACCGUAAAAUUGCAGUUGAAACUGGCAGUCUUGAGUACAGUAGAGGUGGGCGGAAUUCGGGGUGUAGCGGUGAAAUGCUUAGAUAUCACGAAGAACUCCGAUUGCGAAGGCAGUUCACUGGACUGCAACUGACACUGAGGCUCGAAAGUGUGGGUAUCAAACAGGAUUAGAUACCCCGGUAGUC